GAUGAACGCUGGCGGCGUGCCUAAUACAUGCAAGUCGAGCGAACGGACGAGAAGCUUGCUUCUCUGAUGUUAGCGGCGGACGGGUGAGUAACACGUGGAUAACCUACCUAUAAGACUGGGAUAACUUCGUGAAACCGGAGCUAAUACCGGAUAAUAUUUUGAACCGCAUGGUUCAAAAGUUAAAGACGGUCUUGCUGUCACUUAUAGAUGGAUCCGCGCUGCAUUAGCUAGUUGGUAAGGUAACGGCUUACCAAGGCAACGAUGCAUAGCCGACCUGAGAGGGUGAUCGGCCACACUGGAACUGAGACACGGUCCAGACUCCUACGGGAGGCAGCAGUAGGGAAUCUUCCGCAAUGGGCGAAAGCCUGACGGAGCAACGCCGCGUGAGUGAUGAAGGUCUUCGGAUCGUAAAACUCUGUUAUUAGGGAAGAACAUAUGUGUAAGUAACUGUGCACAUCUUGACGGUACCUAAUCAGAAAGCCACGGCUAACUACGUG
Molecule: ribosomal RNA, 497 nt
Filed under: uncultured bacterium
Lineage: Bacteria
Description: partial 16S ribosomal RNA
Rfam family: Bacterial small subunit ribosomal RNA
Source: RNAcentral